AGCGAACGCUGGCGGCAGGCCUAACACAUGCAAGUCGAACGGAUCCUUCGGGAUUAGUGGCGGACGGGUUAGUAACACGUGGGAACGUGCCCUUUGGUUCGGAACAACUCAGGGACACUUGAGCUAAUACCGGACGUGCCCUUCGGGGGGAGGAUUUAUCGCAAUAGUAGCGACCCUCGUCUGAUUCGCUAGUUGGUGAGGUAACGGCACACGAAGGCGACGAUCAGUAGCUGGGCAGAGAGGAUGGUCAGCCACACUGAGACUCAGACGCGGCCCAGAAUCCUACGGGAGGGAGCAGUGGGGGAUCUAGCGAAAUGGGCGAAAGGAUGACGCAGCCCUGCCGGGUGAAUGAUGAAGGUCUGAGGAUAGUAAAAUUCUUUCAGCGGGGACGAUAAUGACGGUACCCGCAGAGAAAGCUCCGGCUAACUUCGUG
This 433-nucleotide ribosomal RNA is filed under the name uncultured bacterium. RNAcentral describes it as "partial 16S ribosomal RNA". It matches the Rfam family "Bacterial small subunit ribosomal RNA", at positions 29 to 507 of the family's 1533-position model. The record is from RNAcentral.